UACGUGUGGGGCAAGCGUUGUUCGGAAUUACUGGGCUUAAAGGGUUCGUAGGCGGCCUAUUAAGUCAGGGGUGAAAUCCCACGGCCCAACCGUGGAAUUGCCUUUGAUACUGAUGGGCUUGAGUGUGUUAGGGGUAAGCGGAACGUGUGGUGUAGCGGUGAAAUGCGUAGAUAUCACACGGAAGGCCGGAGCCGAAGGGGGCUUACUGGGACACAACUGACGCUGAGGAACGAAAGCGUGGGGAGCAAACAGG
RNAcentral lists this ribosomal RNA (253 nucleotides) under uncultured bacterium. RNAcentral describes it as "partial 16S ribosomal RNA". It matches the Rfam family "Bacterial small subunit ribosomal RNA", at positions 524 to 776 of the family's 1533-position model. The record is from RNAcentral.